GCAGGGGCGGCAGUGACGGAUUUGACAAACGCUGCAGUCGGGGCACUGGGCAAGAGAGAACUCUCCGCUGAUAAACGGGGCUUCUGGAGUGAUCUCAAACACGAGGUGGAGAACGCAGCACACCAGGUCGGACACAAUGUGCAGGGGCGGCAGUGACGGAUUUGACAAACGCUGCAGUCGGGGCACUGGGCAGAGAGAACUCCGCUGAUAAACGGGGCUUCUGGAGUGAUCUCAAACACGAGGUGGAGAACGCAGCACACCAGGUCGGACACAAUGUGGAGGGGGCGGUAGUGACGGCUUUGACAAACAAGGCAGUCGGGGCUGUGGUUGGCAAGUGAUGAACUCAAGCUUAGAGUUUCCCGGAGCUGGGAGUGGAACACAGUCACAGAACACAGAGAUAUAUUUCUAAUAAACAUGUUUAUGCCACUUUUAA
Haliotis rubra (blacklip abalone) is the source of this 433-nucleotide long non-coding RNA. RefSeq lists it as uncharacterized. The record is from RefSeq and is a predicted model, not a curated record. The transcript has 2 exons. Lineage: Eukaryota; Metazoa; Mollusca; Gastropoda; Lepetellida; Haliotidae.